This 250-nucleotide long non-coding RNA is filed under the name Vigna radiata. RNAcentral's name for it is "long non-coding RNA (VRAD_LNC008089)". Lineage: Eukaryota; Viridiplantae; Streptophyta; Magnoliopsida; Fabales; Fabaceae. The record is from RNAcentral.
GAGAAAGAGGAAAAAGAAGAGAGAAAAAAUGAGAUUGAGAAAACAGAGAAAAAAGAAAAAGAAGAGAGGGAAAAAGAGGAAGAAGAGGUUAAGAUUAAAAAAGAAAAAAAGAAAAAUAACAAAAAAAAUUGAGAAAAAUUUUCACCACCUUGAGGAGUGUUCCAUGAAAGAAAAAGAGAUGCAACCAGGGUGUUUUAAUGAAAUCUUCAAGAAAUUGGGGAUAAAAAUUCUUGUGACUGAGUCAUUGCAA